Molecule: ribosomal RNA, 253 nt
Filed under: uncultured bacterium
Lineage: Bacteria
Description: partial 16S ribosomal RNA
Rfam family: Bacterial small subunit ribosomal RNA
Source: RNAcentral
UACGUAGGGUGCAAGCGUUAAUCGGAAUUAUUGGGCGUAAAGCGCGCGCAGGCGGUCUUUUAAGUCUGAUGUGAAAGCCCACGGCUCAACCGUGGAGGGUCAUUGGAAACUGGGAGACUUGAGUGCAGAAGAGAAGAGUGGAAUUCCACGUGUAGCGGUGAAAUGCGUAGAGAUGUGGAGGAACACCAGUGGCGAAGGCGACUCUUUGGUCUGUAACUGACGCUGAGGCGCGAAAGCGUGGGGAGCAAACAGG